This is an RNA transcript of Pistacia vera, 1269 nucleotides long. It is a transcript of the gene named SWR1 complex subunit 6, with no coding region annotated. The transcript is spliced from 6 exons. NCBI's taxonomy places the organism in Eukaryota, Viridiplantae, Streptophyta, Magnoliopsida, Sapindales, Anacardiaceae. The record is from RefSeq and is a predicted model, not a curated record.
CCUCUUCGUCUUGUUGAGCUCAGACUCUGUAACUGUGCGUUUAGUUGUGCGCCAGCGUCGUCGGCUCUUUCUCCGAUCAGUCUCUUUUAAAUUGUUUUGAAAAUUAGGGUUUGUAGUAAUGGAAGAUGAACGUCGAAUGUCAAUGCGAACUCGUAAGGUUGCUCCUAAAAUGGCUGCGGCACUUGGCAGCGCCGACAAUCGAACUCAGGCAGCUCUUGCUCGCCUAGAAGCUCUGGAAAAUGAUAAUGCCGGAAUUGAACAUGUUGAAAUUAAUGAUGAUGAUGAUGAAGCUUCUCUUGAUGAUGAUGAUGAAGGUUAUGUACAAAAGAGGCAAUCCAAGGGUACUAAACGCAAAACCCGGCAAGCUAAAGCACUUGAGGAUGCUAGGAAGGCCCCAAGGACUUUCCUUGAGCUCUUACAUGAGCAGGCAAACCUUGAAUCCUUGCCUCCACAUAUUCCAUCCUAUUUGAGGGCAGCUGUGGGACCUCCAAGUUCUACGUCUCGUCGCCAUUUCUGCACGGUUUGUGGAUUUACUGCCAGCUAUACUUGUGUCAAGUGUGGAAUGCGCUUUUGUUCCAUCCGUUGCCAGACUAUACAUGAUGAUACUCGAUGUCUCAAAUUUGUCGCCUGAGUAGUUAGAAACCUGAGCUGGAUAGAAUUUGUAAACAAUAGAUCAAACUUGAAGGUUGUUGGCACUUGUCUUAAUAAAGAUUCAUCAAGGUGUUUUAUUAGCCAUUGAAAAACCUUAUCUUACUCUGAUGGUUAUGGUCAUUAUCUGUCCAGAGGAGCUAAAUUAUCUUCACACUUGUCAUAAGAAGUUGAAUAUAUGCCAGAUGGUGAUCACAAUUCCUUGCAAUCUGCACCACCUUCCCACAGGAAGCUAUAUUUAAUCAGGGGAUGCUAUCAACCGAUGCUUUGUUGAUAAACUUAACAUCGCGGCAGAUCCAGUGGUGGAGGCUGUACAGACUGCAAUUUCCCAACUCCAUUCUCGACUAAGAAAGCCAUUGCUAGACCCCAAGUUAAAUGAGAAUCUAUGUGGCAAUGCAUCAGCCAAAUACCUGUUUUUCCAGGUGAGUUAGAGAAAAACUUAAAAUAUAGUCAAAACAUUACUGGGAAAAGAAAAUAAAUGUGCCUGUGUGUCUGCUCUUGAAUAUGGUGAUUUACCUGGAUUAUCAGCUACAAAUCGGAUGGCAACCCAUCCACCUGGAGGUGUUCCAAUGGUAUUUCUCUUUGGUGGGUCAACAAGGUUGAAGUUUGCUGGAUCUCUAU